This 488-nucleotide ribosomal RNA is filed under the name Hypocreales sp. Its description in RNAcentral is "eukaryotic LSU rRNA". It matches the Rfam family "Eukaryotic large subunit ribosomal RNA", at positions 39 to 538 of the family's 3401-position model. Lineage: Eukaryota; Fungi; Ascomycota; Sordariomycetes; Hypocreales. The record is from RNAcentral.
CAUAUCAAUAAGCGGAGGAAAAGAAACCAACAGGGAUUGCCCUAGUAACGGCGAGUGAAGCGGCAACAGCUCAAAUUUGAAAUCUGGCCCUCGGGUCCGAAUUGUAAUUUGUAGAGGAUGCUUUUGGUGAGGUACCUUCCGAGUUCCCUGGAACGGGACGCCAUAGAGGGUGAGAGCCCCGUCUGGUUGGAUACCGAUCCUCUGUAAAGCUCCUUCGACGAGUCGAGUAGUUUGGGAAUGCUGCUCUAAAUGGGAGGUAUAUGUCUUCUAAAGCUAAAUAUUGGCCAGAGACCGAUAGCGCACAAGUAGAGUGAUCGAAAGAUGAAAAGCACUUUGAAAAGAGAGUUAAAAAGUACGUGAAAUUGUUGAAAGGGAAGCGCUCAUGACCAGACUUGGGCUUGGUUGAUCAUCCAGGGUUCUCCCUGGUGCACUCUUCCAGCCCAGGCCAGCAUCAGUUCGCUGUGGGGGAUAAAGGCUUUGGGAAUGUG